Small nuclear RNA from Neogale vison (American mink), 146 nucleotides. Its record names the gene U4. It matches the Rfam family "U4 spliceosomal RNA". Rfam says of the family: U4 small nuclear RNA (U4 snRNA) is a component of the major U2-dependent spliceosome. The structure of U4 snRNA from yeast and human has been reported. The record is from Ensembl. Lineage: Eukaryota; Metazoa; Chordata; Mammalia; Carnivora; Mustelidae.
AGCUUUGUGCAGUGGCAGUAUCAUAGCCAAUGAGGUUUAUCCGAGGCGCGAUUAUUGCUAAUUGAAAUUAUACCAUGUGUCUUGUGUCUUUGACUCAUCAUUUUGUCUGAGGAAUUUAGCCAUAUUUUUGAGUGAAGCAAUGGUUU